AGUGAACGCUGGCGGUAGGCCUAACACAUGCAAGUCGAACGGCAGCACAGUAAGAGCUUGCUCUUACGGGUGGCGAGUGGCGGACGGGGGAGGAAUACAUCGGAAUCUACUUUUUCGUGGGGGAUAACGUAGGGAAACUUACGCUAAUACCGCAUACGACCUACGGGUGAAAGCAGGGGAUCUUCGGACCUUGCGCGAUUGAAUGAGCCGAUGUCGGAUUAGCUAGUUUGCGGGGUAAAGGCCCACAAAGGCGACGAUCCGUAGCUGGUCUGAGAGGAUGAUCAGCCACACUGGAAGUGAGGCAGGUUCCAGACUCUUACGGGAGGCAGCGGUGGGGAAUAUUGGACGAUGGAGGCAAGCCUGAUCCAGCCAUACCGCGUGGGUGAAGAAGGACUUCUGGUUGUAAAGCCCUUUUGUUGGGAAAGAAAUGCAGCAGGUUAACACCCCGCUGUUCUGACGGUACCCAAAGAAUAAGCACCGGCUAACUUCGUG
RNAcentral lists this ribosomal RNA (492 nucleotides) under uncultured bacterium. Its description in RNAcentral is "partial 16S ribosomal RNA". It matches the Rfam family "Bacterial small subunit ribosomal RNA", at positions 29 to 507 of the family's 1533-position model. The record is from RNAcentral.